Molecule: ribosomal RNA, 419 nt
Filed under: Planorbis sp. DCLF41
Lineage: Eukaryota; Metazoa; Mollusca; Gastropoda; Planorbidae
Description: partial large subunit ribosomal RNA
Source: RNAcentral
AACAUAGUUUUAUGCAUUUAUAUAAAAUAUUUUCUGCCCAAGGUUUUUAAAAAAUCAAGGGCCGCAGUACCUUGACUGUGCUAAGGUAGCAUAAUCAAUUGGCUUUUAAUUAAGGUCUAGAAUGAAUGGGAUAAUGAAGUUAAUCUGUCUUAGUUGCUUUUAUUAAAAUUUAUUUAAAAGGUGAAAAUACCUUUUUUAAAAAUAAAGACGAGAAGACCCUUAGAAUUUUUAUUAUUUUUUUUUGUUGGGGCGACAGUUUAAAAUAUAAUCUUAAAUUUAUGUAUAUAUAUAUAUAACGAUUUUUUUAAUAGAAAUUAAAUUACCUUAGGGAUAACAGCAUAAUUAAUUAUUUAGUUUGUGACCUCGAUGUUGGACUAGGAACUAUAUGGCUAACCGUCUAAUUAGAUUUGUUCUGUUCG